UCACUCGUUCGUCCCACGGUUGUGUUUUCAGUCAUCAUGGAACCACCCAUAGCUGCUGUGUGUGUUUUAUAUGCGCUACAGUCAAUUAUGAUUGUAUUUCAUAUAUUGGCUGGAAGACAAUGCAUCCGCAGACAUCGAGUACUAGCCAUUCGACAAUAUCUGGUAAAUCAGAAAUGAUCAUGUCAGGGAAAGUUGUAUGCACUAUCUAAUGUUUCCAAAAGCUAACCAAACACAAACAUCCUUACAUUUACGAUACGUGUUUGUGCCGUCAUAUGCAUUAGUAGCAUAACUUAUUUACAUUCGUUUUUACUUUCACUUGUAUGUUGACUUCUCCAUAUUGAUGUUGGUUUUAAGUUUUGUCUGACUUUUCUGAGCGGAUGUAAUACAAUCAUCGCAAAUUGAGUUAUGGGGUGUUUCAGGCCCCGGAGUGAACAGAAUUGUGCACUCGAUCACAAACGUGGGCUGAAGGACUUACGUUGCCAACUUCCCUUGCUUGGCUAAUUGUUUGGACCGACGACAAAUAUGGCCGCUGGGAUUCCCCCAAGGGCAUAAGGCGAGGGUAAGUGGAGGAGGAUGUGUCUUUUACAUGUUUGAAACGCAGCCCUUGUCUGUGCAGUUUGAUACAAACAAGCUGUAGCACUGCCUGAAGUUGUCAUCCACUCACACACAUCCAACAAAUACAUUUAAUUCAGUAAGAACCACAUAAAUACCCCAGUGGUAUAUCAAGCUAGUAGGUUAUAUGUUUUUAUUUCCCCUUACUUGAAGGUGAAUGGGGAAAUGAGUGAACGUGAGGAGGAUGAUAGGGCACCGACAAGCAGUUCCAGGAAGUGGAUCCUCAAUGCUUGGAACCCGUUGUGAUAAUAAAUAUUAGCGAUAGCGAUAUUACUGUGCAACAUUCUAUUUUCUCCCAAGAUUGCAAGACCGUUCGUAUGUUGGAUGUCGUGAGCAUUGUAUUGUCCAAUCAUAGAGCAGAUACAAGCCACAUGAUCCGCCAGCGAACACAUAACGGCAGCUGACAGCAGAUCACGUGACUUGCAUCUGCUCUGUGACUGGACGACACAUACCUCAAUGCUGUUUGGGAUAAGUAGUUUGUUUCCCCUCAACACUGAUAGUUCUGGAACCACAACCAUGAAAUGAGUGGCUGCCUGGUACUCUGGAAUGCUGUUGUUCAGGCCUCUAGUUUCCUGAGACAUCCUCUCUUCUAGACAUUCCUCCAGCCAUGAAAAUGUAUCUCUAUCUAUUACAACCACAGAGGAGAUUUGUUUGUGUAGACUCCUGAGAAAACCAGCACACCAGGCUGUCGUCUUGGGAAACAGUGGAUGUAAAGAAUCUAGCUAGCUAAAGCAUUUACUGCAAAUUGUAUGUACAAUUGUGUAAGCUUGCCUUGCAAUGCAGCUGAAGUUAACAUAGCUAGUUAACUGUUGACUUGCUUAUUGUGUAGUGGAGGAUAAAAAUAACUGAAUGCCUAUGGAUGUGUAGCUAGCUACGGUAUGUAGCCGAUCUGUGUUUGUCCGUGAUGUGUACGCCACCUUCUCCACUGCUGUCUUGUCGAUGUGGAUAGGGGGGUGCUCCCUCUGCUGUUUGCUGAAGUCCACAAUCAUCUCCUUUGUUUUGUUGAUGUUGAGUGAGAGGUUGUUUUGCUUACACCACACUCCGAGUGCCCUCAACUCCUCUUGGAGGCUGUCUCAUCGUUGUUGGUAAUCAAGCCUACUACUCCAACUCAAACUUGAUGAUUGAGUUGGAGGCGUGCAUGGCCACGCAGUCAUGGGUGAACAGAGAGUACAGAAGGGGGCUGAGCACGCACCCUUGUGGGGCUCCAGUGUUGAGGAUCAGCGAAGUGGAGAUGUUGUUUCCUAACUUCACCACCUGGGGGCGGCCUGUCAGGAAGUCCAGGAAGACCCAAUUGCACAGCGCGGGGUUGAGACCCAGGGCCUCUAGCUUCAUGAUGAGCUUGGAGGUUACUAUGGUGUUGAAUGCUGAGUUAUAGUCAAUGAACAGCAUUCUUACAUAGGGUAUUCCUCUUGUCCAGGUGGGAUAAGGCAGUGUGCAGUGUUAUGGACCUAUUGCGGCGGUAAGCAAAUUGAAGUGGGUAAGGUGGAGGUGAUAUGAUCCUUGACUAGCCUCUCAAAGCACUUCUCAAUGACAGAAGUGAGUGCCACGGGGCGAUAGUCAGUAAGUUCAGUUACCUUUGCCUUCUUGGGUACAGGAACAAUGGUGGCCAUCUUGAAGCAUGUGGCACUGUAUUAUCCUCAAAGCGAGCAAAGAAGGUAUUUAGUUUGUCUGGAAGCAAGACGUUGGUGUCCGUGACGUGCAAGUAACCACUUCACUGUACCAUUUACACCUUCUGUAUCCUGUGCAUGUGACAAAUAAACUUAGAUUUUAUUUGA
This is a long non-coding RNA of Oncorhynchus nerka (sockeye salmon), 2387 nucleotides long. RefSeq lists it as uncharacterized. The transcript has 3 exons. The record is from RefSeq and is a predicted model, not a curated record. NCBI's taxonomy places the organism in Eukaryota, Metazoa, Chordata, Actinopteri, Salmoniformes, Salmonidae.